AACAUGGAUCCAUCCAUUGGGAU
RNAcentral lists this small nuclear RNA (23 nucleotides) under Arabidopsis thaliana (thale cress). RNAcentral's name for it is "snRNA_18761". Lineage: Eukaryota; Viridiplantae; Streptophyta; Magnoliopsida; Brassicales; Brassicaceae. The record is from RNAcentral.